Equus quagga is the source of this 402-nucleotide non-coding RNA. NCBI's taxonomy places the organism in Eukaryota, Metazoa, Chordata, Mammalia, Perissodactyla, Equidae. The record is from the annotation of a RefSeq genome assembly.
AUGUUGCUCUCCAGCCUUCUGAAGAUGGUCGUGGCUUCAAUGUGGCUAGGAUCCAGCAUUUGCCAGAAGGUAACUCAAUCCCAACCAGCAAUGUCAGUGCAGGAGAUGGAGGCUGUGACCCUGAACUGCACCUAUGACACCAGUUCUGGCACUUACAGUCUAUUCUGGUACAAGCAGCCCAGCAGUGGAGCAAUGAUUUUCCUUAUUCGUCAGGACUCUUACCAGCAAAAUGCCACAGAAGGUCGCUAUUCAUUGAAUUUCCAGAAGGCAAAAAAAUCCAUCAACCUUGUCAUCUCAGCUCCACAGCUGGAGGACUCUGCAGUGUAUUUCUGUGCACUGAGUGAGCCCACAGUGAGAGAUGUGUUAGAGGGAGGUGUGCAGAAACCCCAGGGCUCUGCUUGA